UUAAGUGACUAAGCGUACACGGUGGAUGCCUGGGCAGUCAGAGGCGAUGAAGGACGUACUAACUUGCGAUAAGCGCAGAUAAGGCAGUAAGAGCCGUUUGAGUCUGCGAUUUCCGAAUGGGGAAACCCAACUGCAUAAGCAGUUACUGUUAACUGAAUACAUAGGUUAACAGAGCAAACCGGGGGAACUGAAACAUCUAAGUACCCCGAGGAGAAGAAAUCAACCGAGAUUCCGGUAGUAGCGGCGAGCGAACCUGGAUUAGCCCUUAAGCACUCGGUGAAGUAGGUGAACAAGCUGGAAAGCUUGGCGAUACAGGGUGAUAGCCCCGUAACCGACGCUUCAUCGAGCGUGAAAUCGAGUAGGGCGGGACACGUGAUAUCCUGUCUGAAUAUGGGGGGACCAUCCUCCAAGGCUAAAUACUCCUGACUGACCGAUAGUGAACCAGUACCGUGAGGGAAAGGCGAAAAGAACCCCUGUGAGGGGAGUGAAAUAGAACCUGAAACCGUGUACGUACAAGCAGUAGGAGCACCUUCGUGGUGUGACUGCGUACCUUUUGUAUAAUGGGUCAGCGACUUAUAUUCAGUGGCAAGGUUAACCGUAUAGGGGAGCCGUAGCGAAAGCGAGUCUUAACUGGGCGCUCAGUCUCUGGAUAUAGACCCGAAACCGGGUGAUCUAGCCAUGGGCAGGUUGAAGGUUGAGUAACAUCAACUGGAGGACCGAACCGACUAAUGUUGAAAAAUUAGCGGAUGACUUGUGGCUAGGGGUGAAAGGCCAAUCAAACUCGGAGAUAGCUGGUUCUCCCCGAAAGCUAUUUAGGUAGCGCCUCGGACGAAUACUACUGGGGGUAGAGCACUGUUAAGGCUAGGGGGUCAUCCCGACUUACCAACCCUUUGCAAACUCCGAAUACCAGUAAGUACUAUCCGGGAGACACACGGCGGGUGCUAACGUCCGUCGUGGAGAGGGAAACAACCCAGACCGCCAGCUAAGGUCCCAAAGUAUUGCUAAGUGGGAAACGAUGUGGGAAGGCUCAGACAGCUAGGAUGUUGGCUUAGAAGCAGCCAUCAUUUAAAGAAAGCGUAAUAGCUCACUAGUCGAGUCGGCCUGCGCGGAAGAUGUAACGGGGCUAAGCAAUACACCGAAGCUGCGGCAAUGUCUUUUAGACAUUGGGUAGGGGAGCGUUCUGUAAGCCGUUGAAGGUGAAUCGUAAGGUUUGCUGGAGGUAUCAGAAGUGCGAAUGCUGACAUGAGUAACGACAAAGGGGGUGAAAAACCUCCUCGCCGGAAGACCAAGGGUUCCUGUCCAACGUUAAUCGGGGCAGGGUGAGUCGACCCCUAAGGUGAGGCCGAAAGGCGUAAUCGAUGGGAAACGGGUUAAUAUUCCCGUACUUCUGACUAUUGCGAUGGGGGGACGGAGAAGGCUAGGUGGGCCAGGCGACGGUUGUCCUGGUUCAAGUGCGUAGGCUUGAGAGUUAGGUAAAUCCGGCUCUCUCUAAGGCUGAGACACGACGUCGAGCUACUACGGUAGUGAAGUCAUUGAUGCCAUGCUUCCAGGAAAAGCCUCUAAGCUUCAGAUAGUCAGGAAUCGUACCCCAAACCGACACAGGUGGUCGGGUAGAGAAUACCAAGGCGCUUGAGAGAACUCGGGUGAAGGAACUAGGCAAAAUGGUACCGUAACUUCGGGAGAAGGUACGCUCUUGAUGGUGAAGUCCCUCGCGGAUGGAGCUGACGAGAGUCGCAGAUACCAGGUGGCUGCAACUGUUUAUUAAAAACACAGCACUGUGCAAAAUCGCAAGAUGACGUAUACGGUGUGACGCCUGCCCGGUGCCGGAAGGUUAAUUGAUGGGGUUAGCGCAAGCGAAGCUCUUGAUCGAAGCCCCGGUAAACGGCGGCCGUAACUAUAACGGUCCUAAGGUAGCGAAAUUCCUUGUCGGGUAAGUUCCGCCUGCACGAAUGGCGUAAUGAUGGCCACGCUGUCUCCACCCGAGACUCAGUGAAAUUGAAAUCGCUGUGAAGAUGCAGUGUACCCGCGGCUAGACGGAAAGACCCCGUGAACCUUUACUACAGCUUGGCACUGAACAUUGAACCUACAUGUGUAGGAUAGGUGGGAGGCUAUGAAGACGUGACGCCAGUUGCGUUGGAGCCGUCCUUGAAAUACCACCCUUGUAUGUUUGAUGUUCUAACUUAGACCCAUUAUCUGGGUUGAGGACAGUGCCUGGUGGGUAGUUUGACUGGGGCGGUCUCCUCCCAAAGAGUAACGGAGGAGCACGAAGGUGGGCUAAUCACGGUUGGACAUCGUGAGGUUAGUGCAAUGGCAUAAGCCCGCUUAACUGCGAGAAUGACGGUUCGAGCAGGUGCGAAAGCAGGUCAUAGUGAUCCGGUGGUUCUGGAUGGAAGGGCCAUCGCUCAACGGAUAAAAGGUACUCCGGGGAUAACAGGCUGAUACCGCCCAAGAGUUCAUAUCGACGGCGGUGUUUGGCACCUCGAUGUCGGCUCAUCACAUCCUGGGGCUGAAGUCGGUCCCAAGGGUAUGGCUGUUCGCCAUUUAAAGUGGUACGCGAGCUGGGUUUAGAACGUCGUGAGACAGUUCGGUCCCUAUCUGCCGUGGGCGUUGGAAGAUUGAAGGGGGCUGCUCCUAGUACGAGAGGACCGGAGUGGACGAACCUCUGGUGUUCGGGUUGUGUCGCCAGACGCAUUGCCCGGUAGCUAAGUUCGGAAUUGAUAAGCGCUGAAAGCAUCUAAGCGCGAAGCGAGCCCUGAGAUGAGUCUUCCCUGACAGUUUAACUGUCCUAAAGGGUUGUUCGAGACUAGAACGUUGAUAGGCAGGGUGUGUAAGCGUUGUGAGGCGUUGAGCUAACCUGUACUAAUUGCCCGUGAGGCUUAACCAU
RNAcentral lists this ribosomal RNA (2884 nucleotides) under Vibrio cholerae. RNAcentral describes it as "bacterial LSU rRNA". It matches the Rfam family "Bacterial large subunit ribosomal RNA". The record is from RNAcentral. Lineage: Bacteria; Pseudomonadati; Pseudomonadota; Gammaproteobacteria; Vibrionales; Vibrionaceae.